AUAGUACGAGGAGAACUGAUCCCCAUAAAAGCAUUGUAUGACAAAGUCUUUAACUCACUCCUCUCAGCCAACAUUUCCACAGCCUCAACAUCAUCCAUAUCAUCCACUAACUCCAUUUCCAAUCCAUUAAUAACAGUUAAGAUACACAAUUCUCGUUUGGGACAGAUACUUGCAUGAAUCUUUGACCACUUAUCUCCACAUUUGAAACACACACCUUCCCUUCUCAUACCAUCCAACUCAGCAUCCGAAUACUUCAACCGCGCCCGU
Molecule: long non-coding RNA, 267 nt
Filed under: Brassica napus (rape)
Lineage: Eukaryota; Viridiplantae; Streptophyta; Magnoliopsida; Brassicales; Brassicaceae
Description: long non-coding RNA (BNAP_LNC015664)
Source: RNAcentral